This 253-nucleotide ribosomal RNA is filed under the name uncultured bacterium. RNAcentral describes it as "partial 16S ribosomal RNA". It matches the Rfam family "Bacterial small subunit ribosomal RNA", at positions 524 to 776 of the family's 1533-position model. The record is from RNAcentral.
UACGUAGGGGGCAAGCGUUGUCCGGAUUUAUUGGGCGUAAAGAGCGUGUAGGCGGCCAAACAGGUCAGCUGUGAAAACUCGAGGCUCAACCUCGAGACGUCGGUUGAAACCGUAUGGCUAGAGUCCGGAAGAGGAGAGUGGAAUUCCCGGUGUAGCGGUGAAAUGCGCAGAUAUCGGGAAGAACACCUAUGGCGAAGGCAGCUCUCUGGGACGGUACUGACGCUGAGACGCGAAAGCGUGGGGAGCGAACAGG